GGGGUUAUAGCGCAGUGGUAGCGCGUCCGCUUUGCACGAUCGCAUGAAUUGCGGAAGGUCCAGUGUUCGAUCCACUGUUUCUCCA
This is a non-coding RNA of Gnomoniopsis smithogilvyi, 85 nucleotides long. The record is from the annotation of a GenBank genome assembly. Lineage: Eukaryota; Fungi; Ascomycota; Sordariomycetes; Diaporthales; Gnomoniaceae.